CAGCAGCCGCGGUAAUACGUAUGUCACAAGCGUUAUCCGGAUUUAUUGGGCGUAAAGCGCGCCUAGGUGGUUAUGUAAGUCAGAUGUGAAAAUGCAGGGCUCAACUCUGUAUUGCGUUGGAAACUGUGUAACUAGAGUACUGGAGAGGUAAGCGGAACUACAAGUGUAGAGGUGAAAUUCGUAGAUAUUUGUAGGAAUGUCGAUGGGGAAGCCAGCUUACUGGACAGAUACUGACGCUAAAGCGCGAAAGCGUGGGUAGCAAACAGGAUUAGAUACCCGUGUAGUCCCUGUCUCUUAUACA
RNAcentral lists this ribosomal RNA (301 nucleotides) under uncultured bacterium. Its description in RNAcentral is "partial 16S ribosomal RNA". It matches the Rfam family "Bacterial small subunit ribosomal RNA", at positions 509 to 808 of the family's 1533-position model. The record is from RNAcentral.